This 213-nucleotide long non-coding RNA is filed under the name Elaeis guineensis (African oil palm). RNAcentral describes it as "long non-coding RNA (EGUI_LNC082230)". Lineage: Eukaryota; Viridiplantae; Streptophyta; Magnoliopsida; Arecales; Arecaceae. The record is from RNAcentral.
AGAAAAUGAAAUUUUUAAAUCACAAAACGUUAACAAAAACUAAAUGGUAAUUUGUCUUUUCAUGUGCCAAAGCAUUUGCACAUGCCUAGAAACUCACAGCUUGGAAUUUUGAAGGUUUCAACUGAAUUUAAGGAGAAAAGAUAAGAUAACAAAUAUAAAAAUGUUCUGAUGGAGUCAUCGUUGGGAGAUAGAUGCAUGGUCAAUUUUUGUAGA